AUCGAACGCUGGCGGCAUGCCUUACACAUGCAAGUCGAACGGCAGCACGGGAGCAAUCCUGGUGGCGAGUGGCGAACGGGUGAGUAAAGUAUCGGAACGUGCCCAGUCGUGGGGGAUAACGUAGCGAAAGUUACGCUAAUACCGCAUACGAUCUAUGGAUGAAAGCGGGGGAUCGCAAGACCUCGCGCGAUUGGAGCGGCCGAUAUCAGAUUAGGUAGUUGGUGGGGUAAAGGCUCACCAAGCCGACGAUCUGUAGCUGGUCUGAGAGGACGACCAGCCACACUGGGACUGAGACACGGCCCAGAUUCCUACGGGAGGCAGCAGGGGGGAAUUUUGGACAAUGGGCGAAAGCCUGAUCCAGCCAUGCCGCGUGCAGGAUGAAGGCCUUCGGGUUGUAAACUGCUUUUGUACGGAACGAAAAGGUUUGGGCUAAUAAGCUGAGCUCAUGACGGUACCGUAAGAAUAAGCACCGGCUAACUACGUGCCAGCCGCCGCCGUAA
This 500-nucleotide ribosomal RNA is filed under the name uncultured bacterium. RNAcentral's name for it is "partial 16S ribosomal RNA". It matches the Rfam family "Bacterial small subunit ribosomal RNA", at positions 30 to 523 of the family's 1533-position model. The record is from RNAcentral.